AGUGAACGCUGGCGGUAGGCCUAACACAUGCAAGUCGAACGGCAGCACAGUAAGAGCUUGCUCUUACGGGUGGCGAGUGGCGGGCGGGUGAGGAAUACAUCGGAAUCUACUUUUUCGUGGGGGAUAACGUAGGGAAACUUACGCUAAUACCGCAUACGACCUACGGGUGAAAGCAGGGGAUCUUCGGACCUUGCGCGAUUGAAUGAGCCGAUGUCGGAUUAGCUAGUUGGCGGGGUAAAGGCCCACCAAGGCGACGAUCCGUAGCUGGUCUGAGAGGAUGAUCAGCCACACUGGAACUGAGACACGGUCCAGACUCCUACGGGAGGCAGCAGUGGGGAAUAUUGGACAAUGGGCGCAAGCCUGAUCCAGCCAUACCGCGUGGGUGAAGAAGGCCUUCGGGUUGUAAAGCCCUUUUGUUGGGAAAGAGAAGCAGCAGGUUAAUACCCCGCUGUUCUGACGGUACCCAAAGAAUAAGCACCGGCUAACUUCGUG
Molecule: ribosomal RNA, 492 nt
Filed under: uncultured bacterium
Lineage: Bacteria
Description: partial 16S ribosomal RNA
Rfam family: Bacterial small subunit ribosomal RNA
Source: RNAcentral